UGAUGAAGAUGAGCAGGAGCCCUCUUCACAUCCAAAAAAGCGUCCAGCCAGUAAUCUGGAGCUGCCACUGCCCCCCACACCCCCACCUCUACCCCAGACUGUGACUAUGACUGAGACUCCACCACUGCAGAUGAUGACACCCAUGUCUUCAAUACGAAAUUUUCAAAGACCAUCCUCUUCUCAAACAGAUAUUGAAACCACAUCGAGAGCAGCUUUUCAAAGGAAAGUAUUUGAGUGCUUUGAGGAACUAAAAAUGCAAAUAGCACAAAACACUCGACUUCUCAAUACCGUCAUCCCUGCUGGAUCAAGAGAAGAAGAAUUUCAACUGCCAGAAGAUGUCCAGAUUCCUCUUAGUACAAUGGUGGCAGUGGACAACCUGGAAAAGAAACUAGAAGCAGAAUCAUUCUGCAAAGAUCUAGUUGGCAUGCUUUCCGUAAUUGGAGGUGGAAACCUCAAAGCUACUACCUGGAGGCUGAUGAGCAUCACAAUAUCCAAUGAUUUAGCUGUACAGUUCAACUGGGUUGGACGAGGUGUCAAAAGAGCUUU
Long non-coding RNA from Acipenser ruthenus (sterlet), 546 nucleotides. RefSeq lists it as uncharacterized. The transcript has 3 exons. Lineage: Eukaryota; Metazoa; Chordata; Actinopteri; Acipenseriformes; Acipenseridae. The record is from RefSeq and is a predicted model, not a curated record.